Long non-coding RNA from Equus caballus (horse), 1169 nucleotides. RefSeq lists it as uncharacterized. The record is from RefSeq and is a predicted model, not a curated record. Lineage: Eukaryota; Metazoa; Chordata; Mammalia; Perissodactyla; Equidae.
GAAACCAAUUUGUUGUAAUUUUCUCUACCACCAAAAGAUAUUGUUUGUGCUGGAAGAAAGGGAUGGAAACACUGCUAGAGGUAUUGGAAACAGUUAAUAAGUAGAUAAGCACCAAGAAGAAAAAUUUCUUUUGUCUGUCAAAGCCCUCCGGUGUUGCCAAGACUUUUUGUGUCUGAUGUUUGAGAGAGACAGGGCUGUUCUCUUCAAAGGCUCGUGAGAAAAGAAUCAACUUUGCAACAUCUAAAGAACAGAGGAAGAAGCGCCAUGAAAAUUACAGCACUCUGAUCAAUAAGGAUACAAAAUGAGAGGAACAGAAACAGUGAUUUCUGCCCUUCCCAGGCAUUUCACAUUUUGGUAAACACAGAUAUUUGUCUGCAAUUACUUUCCUCUGAGAGUUGUAUUUUCUGGAGCCUUUUCAAAUGAGAAAUACUGGGAACUGAGCGGAGCUCCCACUUCAAGUGUCAGGGUCAGAGGAGCGGUGGUGAAGUGCCUCAGUACAUCACUUGAGUGGAAGAGCUUUCCAGUUAAUAUACUUAGGAUUUACAUGAGGUUUAUCUCCAGCCAGUGUGAGAUCUGAAAGCAGUUUCAACAGAGCAGAUUCAAGAAAUAAAAGACCAGUCUCAAUAGAUGCAGCCAGUGAUAGCAACCAACGUACUCCAGAGAGAAUGUGCCCCCAAACCAUGAUGAGCCUUGUGGACUAUGACAGAAAAAAAAAAAGGAGACAGGUUUGUAGUGCACAGAAUCCUUAACUUUAAAGCAUAAUGAAAUCUUAGAAAGCUCUGCUUGAAUUGUAAAAUUUGCCAAGUAUGUGAACCCCCAUCUUCCCUUUUAAUCUGAGUUCACCCGUCCUAGUUACAGGAAGACCUGUCAUCUGCAUGAAGUCACCUGAUACCUAUUUUAGGGCAAGUGAAUGGAUCAGUUUUUACCAAAAUCAAAUCCUCGAGCUAGAGUUCCAAGGUGUCAGAAAAACAUGGGUGAAGAUAUCUGCUGUGAUAAUUUAGCUGUGUGACUUUGAACAAAAUGCCUAACUUUACUGACUUUGUUUUCAUCUGUAUAGCAGGAACCAUCAUACGAACUGCACAAAAUAGCUCUGUGGAUUAGUGAAAUAAGAAAGGAGGUUAAGCACUGUAGGAGAACAGAAUAUGUCACCCAAAAAUGUGUCUCUUUGG